Molecule: long non-coding RNA, 213 nt
Organism: Nyctereutes procyonoides (raccoon dog)
Lineage: Eukaryota; Metazoa; Chordata; Mammalia; Carnivora; Canidae
Exons: 3
Source: RefSeq, a predicted model, not a curated record
ACUGGACCUGAUUUAAAGAUUCUUCCUUGAUCCCGACCUCUAAGGUUGCAUCUAUUUUAGCAGACUGGAGACCAGUAAUAGAAGCUCAAGGUGAUUUCUACCUUUAUUGUGAUCAAGGUCACCAUGUUUCCCUUUUAUAGGAAAGAGACCAUAAUGGACACAUUUGAGCUAACCAAGCAUUAUUCCAUGGCAGUGAGCUCUAUGAUGCCAUCU